AGUCGGCUUACGACUGAACUGAACGCAACGUCCCCUCUGCUGCUAUUGCUGCUGCUGCUGCUUGUUGAUGACUUCAAUUGAAGCGAGGCUUUCGGUCGCAUGUCAAGGCAAGCGUAGCUUCGAUGCCGACGUCGGCGUCAACUGCGGCGUUGGCGGCAGCGUCGUUGCUAAGUUUUGUGACCCUUUUCGGCACACACUUUUUUUCCCUCCUCGCUGUGUUUACUGUUGUUGUUGGCGUUGUAGUGUUAACCGCCAGUGUGUACAUACGUUGAAGUAAUUAAAGCGUUGCCAGCUGACGUCACUGACGUUGAGUGGCUUCUUCUACGAUUACUGUUUGCUGCUGGUCGCGCAUGAGCAAGAGAAUGCACUCCCGCACAAGGACACGUGCCUGGGCAAUGUCACGCAACAGGCGCUCCUUUGGGGCACGCAAUCCAAUUGUUGUUGGUCCCAAAUUGCUUUGCAUCUCUGCUAUGGUCCGCAACAGGCUGCCGUAGACAUCCACUAUGUUGGGCGUUUCUGUGUUGGUUGUAGGUGCUUGGUAGAGACAGAGACAGAGUCGGAGCAGUGUGGCAGGCGGUCAAGCGUGCUUCCCGCACGCAGAUACUUGGAUUCGUUCUACCCCCAAAGCAAGCACAACGUGUGGGGCAUGACGACGGUGAC
Molecule: long non-coding RNA, 660 nt
Organism: Drosophila albomicans
Lineage: Eukaryota; Metazoa; Arthropoda; Insecta; Diptera; Drosophilidae
Exons: 3
Source: RefSeq, a predicted model, not a curated record